GAUGAACGCUGGCGGCGUGCCUAAUACAUGCAAGUCGAGCGAACGGACGAGAAGCUUGCUUCUCUGAUGUUAGCGGCGGACGGGGGAGUAACACGUGGAUAACCUACCUAUAAGACUGGGAUAACUUCGGGAAACCGGAGCUAAUACCGGAUAAUAUUUUGAACCGCAUGGUUCAAAAGUGAAAGACGGUCUUGCUGUCACUUAUAGAUGGAUCCGCGCUGCAUUAGCUAGUUGGUAAGGUAACGGCUUACCAAGGCAACGAUGCAUAGCCGACCUGAGAGGGUGAUCGGCCACACUGGAACUGAGACACGGUCCAGACUCCUACGGGAGGCAGCAGUAGGGAAUCUUCCGCAAUGGGCGAAAGCCUGACGGAGCAACGCCGCGUGAGUGAUGAAGGUCUUCGGAUCGUAAAACCCUGUUAUUAGGGAAGAACAUAUGUGUAAGUAACUGUGCACAUCUUGACGGUACCUAAUCAGAAAGCCACGGCUAACUACGUG
Molecule: ribosomal RNA, 497 nt
Filed under: uncultured bacterium
Lineage: Bacteria
Description: partial 16S ribosomal RNA
Rfam family: Bacterial small subunit ribosomal RNA
Source: RNAcentral